RNAcentral lists this ribosomal RNA (115 nucleotides) under Tindallia californiensis. The record is from RNAcentral. Lineage: Bacteria; Bacillati; Bacillota; Clostridia; Peptostreptococcales; Tindalliaceae.
GACGUGACCAAAGCGAAGGGGAAACACCUGUUUCCAUCUCGAACACAGCCGUUAAGCCCUUCAGCGCUGAUGGUACCUGGAAGGAGACUUCCCGGAAGAGUAGGUCGUUGCGUCU